This 467-nucleotide ribosomal RNA is filed under the name uncultured bacterium. Its description in RNAcentral is "partial 16S ribosomal RNA". It matches the Rfam family "Bacterial small subunit ribosomal RNA", at positions 28 to 507 of the family's 1533-position model. The record is from RNAcentral.
GAUGAACGCUGGCGGCGUGCUUAACACAUGCAAGUCGAACGGAAAGGCUCCUGCUUGCAGGGGUACUCGAGUGGCGAACGGGUGAGUAACACGUGGGUGAUCUGCCCUGCACUUCGGGAUAAGCCUGGGAAACUGGGUCUAAUACCGGAUAGGACCACAUUUUGGAUGGUGUGGUGGAAAGUUUUUCGGUGUGGGAUGAGCUCGCGGCCUAUCAGCUUGUUGGUGGGGUAAUGGCCUACCAAGGCGUCGACGGGUAGCCGGCCUGAGAGGGUGUACGGCCACAUUGGGAAUGAGAGACGGCCCAGACUCCUACGGGAGGCAGCAGUGGGGAAUAUUGCACAAUGGGCGCAAGCCUGAUGCAGCGACGCCGCGUGGGGGAUGACGGCCUUCGGGUUGUAAACUCCUUUCGCUAGGGACGAAGCGUUUUUGUGACGGUACCUGGAGAAGAAGCACCGGCUAACUACGUG